This is a transfer RNA of Marchantia polymorpha subsp. polymorpha, 73 nucleotides long. It matches the Rfam family "tRNA". From Rfam's summary of the family: Transfer RNA (tRNA) molecules are approximately 80 nucleotides in length. The record is from Rfam. NCBI's taxonomy places the organism in Eukaryota, Viridiplantae, Streptophyta, Marchantiopsida, Marchantiales, Marchantiaceae.
GGUUUCAUGGUGUAGUGGUUAUCACGUCUGCUUUACACGCAGAAGGCCGCGAGUUCGAACCUCGCUGAAACCU